RNAcentral lists this ribosomal RNA (703 nucleotides) under Haloarcula sp. MaM4. Its description in RNAcentral is "bacterial SSU rRNA". It matches the Rfam family "Archaeal small subunit ribosomal RNA", at positions 52 to 756 of the family's 1478-position model. Lineage: Archaea; Methanobacteriati; Methanobacteriota; Halobacteria; Halobacteriales; Haloarculaceae. The record is from RNAcentral.
UGCUAGUUGCACGAGUUUAGACUCGUAGCAUAUAGCUCAGUAACACGUGGCCAAACUACCCUACAGACCGCGAUAACCUCGGGAAACUGAGGCCAAUAGCGGAUAUCACUCUCAUGCUGGAGUGCCGAGAGUGAGAAACGUUCCGGCGCUGUAGGAUGUGGCUGCGGCCGAUUAGGUAGAUGGUGGGGUAACGGCCCACCAUGCCGAUAAUCGGUACAGGUUGUGAGAGCAAGAGCCUGGAGACGGUAUCUGAGACAAGAUACCGGGCCCUACGGGGCGCAGCAGGCGCGAAACCUUUACACUGCACGACAGUGCGAUAGGGGGACUCCGAGUGUGAGGGCAUAUAGCCCUCGCUUUUCUGAACCGUAAGGUGGUUCAGGAACAAGGACUGGGCAAGACCGGUGCCAGCCGCCGCGGUAAUACCGGCAGUCCGAGUGAUGGCCGAUAUUAUUGGGCCUAAAGCGUCCGUAGCUUGCUGUGUAAGUCCGUUGGGAAAUCGACCAGCUCAACUGGUCGGCGUCCGGUGGAAACUACACAGCUUGGGGCCGACAGACUCAACGGGUACGUCCGGGGUAGGAGUGAAAUCCUGUAAUCCUGGACGGACCACCAAUGGGGAAACCACGUUGAGAGACCGGACCCGACUGUGAGGGACGAAAGCCAGGGUCUCGAACCGGAUUAGAUACCCUGGUAGUCCUGGCUGUAA